This is a long non-coding RNA of Hyla sarda, 329 nucleotides long. RefSeq lists it as uncharacterized. The transcript is spliced from 4 exons. Lineage: Eukaryota; Metazoa; Chordata; Amphibia; Anura; Hylidae. The record is from RefSeq and is a predicted model, not a curated record.
GAAACCUGCAGUCAUGUGGGUAAACACUGUGAACAUGUGACUAAGUUAGUCACGUGAUCGGGGCACUGGAGGUAUACUCACUAAAUGAGAGACAGCCUGUGAUAGUAUAGUAGAUCUUCCCCCAAGCAGCUGCAGUCACUGUGCCGACAGGAGGAGGGGCCAGGAGCAGUGAGGAAGGCAGAGGGUAGAGUGUGAAUACCGCUGAAGGCGUCCAAUUAAAAGUAUAGACAUCUGUCUACAUAACCUGAAGAUACAAAUUUGACAACAGAAAACAGAAGUUAACAGAAGUCAUUGACUCAAUCUCAGACCAGAGCAGAAGACGCUGGGAG